RNAcentral lists this microRNA precursor (97 nucleotides) under Marmota monax (woodchuck). The record is from RNAcentral. Lineage: Eukaryota; Metazoa; Chordata; Mammalia; Rodentia; Sciuridae.
CAUGUACGUAUAUUCACAUAGGGGGGGACACACACACACACGGACAUACCCAUGUCCGUGUGUGUGUGUGUCCCCCCCUAUUUGAAUAUAGGGUACC